UUAUCGCCUCUAAGUUAUACCAAUUGUUAUUGAGAAAGAAAACUCGAAAGAUAACCAGUUGUAAUAAGUACUGAUAAUACUUA
RNAcentral lists this non-coding RNA (83 nucleotides) under bovine gut metagenome. Its description in RNAcentral is "PGK RNA". It matches the Rfam family "PGK RNA". Rfam says of the family: mammalian gut metagenomes. The record is from RNAcentral.